This is a long non-coding RNA of Leopardus geoffroyi (Geoffroy's cat), 386 nucleotides long. RefSeq lists it as uncharacterized. The transcript has 2 exons. NCBI's taxonomy places the organism in Eukaryota, Metazoa, Chordata, Mammalia, Carnivora, Felidae. The record is from RefSeq and is a predicted model, not a curated record.
ACACCCCAGUCGUGAAACCCUCUUCCAGCAGCUCCAGAAGCACGGUGUGCCUGACAUGAUCCAGGCACACUGGGUGCCCACGUCCUUCCUCUCAACACCCACCAAGCCAGCACCUGGACCCUUGAGUUUUGCUGACACCAUUGAGAAAAUUUCAACCUACUGAAAAAUUAGAAGAGGAAUACAAUGAGCACCUAUGAACGUUUCACCUAGAUUCGUCAACCAUUGACAUUUUGCCACAUUUGCUUUCUUUCUCUCUCUCUUACAGGAAGUUAGUUGCAAGUUUGCUGACGAUUUCCUCUGACCAGAUGAGCUAUUAUCUCACAAAAGCAAGGACGUUCUCCUCUAUUAUCACUAUUAUCACACUCAAUAAAUUUAAAUUGAUGCAA